CUGAAUUGAACCUGGGUCUCCUACACCCCUGAAAAAGUAUCCUAUUCACUUGGCUAAAAGUUAUAUAUCUGCUUCUCUCCUCCCAUCUGGCAUUUUAUCAAUCUAGUCCUUUUUGUAAGAGUGCCUAAAAUCUAAAUGAAAAAUUUCAGGUUAGGUCAAAAUGAAACUUUUCUUUUCAACUCCACUCCAAAUAUUUUCAACUUUUUUAUUUGCCAAAAAAUGUUGUGUUCUGUUCAACCAGAAAUGAAAGAGUUUGUUAUUGUUUGGAAUUGCCAGUAAAGUGAAAAAUCCAUUAUUCGCUCUUUGAAGCAUGUACUGUGGUAAGAAUAGAGUACAAGAAGCAGGAAAUGAAGCCAGUAGAAGAAGAAACUGGGAGCUGCUGGAGGUAGAUAAGAAACUCGCAUACAAAUUAACUCCACCCUGGAAAGUAUAGACAGAAAAGAAAAAAAGAAGUGUGAAGAAAGAGUCAGACCAAGAUGAGUUCAAAAAGAACAUAAAAAAAAAAAAGCAGAAAGAAGGAAGGACAAACUCUAAGAAAAAUGAGGAAAGAAACAGGGCCAGACCGAACAUCCACAGAAGUCAGUGGAAAGACUACCAUUAACUUCAGUGAGCACUGGAUCAGGGUGGUAAUAAGUAAACUUCCUCAUUAGAGAAAGAGAAAUAACUUCAAUACCAGCACUAUGGCAUACUAAGAAGUAGCAUACAUUUAAUUCAAUUUUCAUCUGUUUGGUCUCUGCAAUCAAGAUGAGGUCACAGAAAUUUCCAGUUUGCAUUUUCUCAUAGGAAGGGAUAUGAGUGUGAAAUUCCCUCAGCUCUUGACUUUUCAACCUCUGAGGAAUGCAUUGGCUGUUUUCUUUUACCAUCUGAACUAAUGAGAAUAACUAUGCUGCAGAUCUACAUUAAAGCCAGCUUCAGUGUGGCCAGGAUUUCACCCAGGGUUUGUAAAUUUUAGAUGCUCUAUCUUCUGUGUUAAAGAAAUCACCUACCUGAAACAUCAAGAUUUUCUUUGUAGAUAUGUCUACGCUGAUGUCCAUCUGGUCUCAUUAUAGGACACACUUUAACUACAAAAGAAUACAGUAUAACAGCUCCCAUCAAACAUUAGCAAAUAAAAAAUAAAUCAGACAAAAUUAUUGUCAUGUGUAAUAAACAGUGAAUUGCAAGGCAACAUGAACAGAGUUCAAUUUUCAAUGUAAUUAGAUUACUACUAAUAUUCCUUCUUGUUUCUUUAUAUUUAGGAUUAUGAAAUAAACCAAACUACCAUAUUAAAACAACAGUAAUUACAUUUUAGUGUACAAAAUAUUCUCUUAAUACUAUAAUUAUAAACAGAUAAGAUGUAAUCAUGUUUUAAUUCAAUCAUCUGUGAUUAAAGCAAGCACAUAUUAACUAUUCAACCACUAUGGGA
Long non-coding RNA from Chelonia mydas (Green sea turtle), 1402 nucleotides. RefSeq lists it as uncharacterized. Lineage: Eukaryota; Metazoa; Chordata; Testudines; Cheloniidae. The transcript has 4 exons. The record is from RefSeq and is a predicted model, not a curated record.